GGCCGGGUCACGGGACACAUUUUUUAAACUAGAUACCCCAAUGAUGAUUGUUUCCAAGUUUGGUUUAAUUUGGCCCAGUAGUUUCAGAGGAGAAGAUUUUUGUAAAAGUUAACGACGACGGACGACGACGGACGACGACGGACGCCGGAUGCAAAGUGAUGGGAAAAGCUCACUUGGCCCUUCGGGCCAGGUGAGCUAAAAACAUGAGCGGUGU
This 214-nucleotide long non-coding RNA is filed under the name Mytilus galloprovincialis (Mediterranean mussel). The record is from RNAcentral. Lineage: Eukaryota; Metazoa; Mollusca; Bivalvia; Mytilida; Mytilidae.